This 1365-nucleotide ribosomal RNA is filed under the name uncultured bacterium. RNAcentral describes it as "bacterial SSU rRNA". It matches the Rfam family "Bacterial small subunit ribosomal RNA", at positions 27 to 1381 of the family's 1533-position model. The record is from RNAcentral.
GGAUGAACGUUGGCGGCGUGCCUAAUACAUGCAAGUCGAACGAAGACUGUAGUAAUACUGUCUUAGUGGCGAACGGGUGAGUAACGCGUGGGUGACCUGCCCCGAAGUGUGGGAUAACAGUCCGAAAGGAUUGCUAAUACUGCAUAAUAUCCAAGAGAUUAGACGCUUUUGGAUUAAAGGAGUAAUUCGCUUCGGGAGGGGCCCGCGCCCCAUCAGCUAGUUGGUAAGGUAAUGGCUUACCAAGGCUUUGACGGUUAGCUGGUCUGAGAGGAUGGUCAGCCACACUGGGACUGAGAUACUGCCCAGACUCCUACGGGAGGCUGCAGUCGAGAAUCAUUCGCAAUGGGCGCAAGCCUGACGGUGCGACGUCGCGUGGAGGAUGAAGGUCUUCGGAUUGUAAACUCCUGUCAUGUGGGAGAAAUGGCCCGGGUCUGAACAGGACCUGGGAAUGAUAGUACCACAGGAGGAAGGGACGGCUAACUCUGUGCCAGCAGCCGCGGUAAUUCAGAGGUCCCGAGCGUUGUUCGGAUUUACUGGGCGUAAAGGGAGCGUAGGCGGUUCGGUAUGUCGAAUGUGAAAGCCCACAACUCAACUGUGGAAAUGCAUCCGAAACUGCCGGGCUAGAGUACUGGAGAGGAGAGCGGAAUUCUUGGUGUAGCGGUGAAAUGCGUAGAUAUCAAGAGGAACACCGGUGGCGAAGGCGGCUCUCUGGACAGAUACUGACGCUGAGGCUCUAAAGUUAGGGGAGCAAACAGGAUUAGAUACCCUGGUAGUCCUAACCUUAAACGGUGUACACUUGGUGUGCGAGGAAUUGUCCCUUUGCGCGCCGCAGCUAACGCGUUAAGUGUACCGCCUGGGGAGUACGGUCGCAAGACUAAAACUCAAAGGAAUUGACGGGGACCCGCACAAGCGGUGGAGCAUGUGGCUUAAUUCGAUGCAACGCGAAGAACCUUACCUGGACUUGACAUGCUGGUGGUAGAAUCCUGAAAGGGAGACGACGGUCGCAAGAUCGAGCCAGCACAGGUGCUGCAUGGCUGUCGUCAGCUCGUGCCGUGAGGUGUUGGGUUAAGUCCCGCAACGAGCGCAACCCCUGUGGCUAGUUGCCCUUAUUCAGUUAGGCACUCUAGCCAGACUGCCUGUGAUAAGCAGGAGGAAGGUGGGGAUGACGUCAAGUCAGUAUGGUCCUUAUGUCCAGGGCUGCACACGUGCUACAAUGACCGGUACAGAAGGAAGCAAGGCCGCGAGGCGGAGCUAAUCCCCAAAACCGGUCCCAGUUCGGAUUGGAGUCUGCAACCCGACUCCAUGAAGCCGGAAUCGCUAGUAAUGGCGCAUCAGCUACGGCGCCGUGAAUACGUUCCCGGGUCU